AUUGAACGCUGGCGGCAGGCCUAACACAUGCAAGUCGAGCGGCAGCGGGAAAGUAGCUUGCUACUUUUGCCGGCGAGCGGCGGACGGGUGAGUAAUGCCUGGGAAAUUGCCCAGUCGAGGGGGAUAACAGUUGGAAACGACUGCUAAUUCCGCAUACGCCCUACGGGGGAAAGCAGGGGACCUUCGGGCCUUGCGCGAUUGGAUAUGCCCAGGUGGGAUUAGCUAGUUGGUGAGGUAAUGGCUCACCAAGGCGACGAUCCCUAGCUGGUCUGAGAGGAUGAUCAGCCACACUGGAACUGAGACACGGUCCAGACUCCUACGGGAGGCAGCAGUGGGGAAUAUUGCACAAUGGGGGAAACCCUGAUGCAGCCAUGCCGCGUGUGUGAAGAAGGCCUUCGGGUUGUAAAGUACUUUCAGCGGGGAGGAAGGCGGUGAGGUUAAUAACCUCGCCGAUUGACGUUACCCGCAGAAGAAGCACCGGCUAACUCCGUGCCAGCCGCCGCCGUAA
RNAcentral lists this ribosomal RNA (508 nucleotides) under uncultured bacterium. Its description in RNAcentral is "partial 16S ribosomal RNA". It matches the Rfam family "Bacterial small subunit ribosomal RNA", at positions 30 to 523 of the family's 1533-position model. The record is from RNAcentral.